RNAcentral lists this long non-coding RNA (769 nucleotides) under Sus scrofa (pig). RNAcentral's name for it is "lncRNA (ENSSSCG00045023385.1)". The record is from RNAcentral. Lineage: Eukaryota; Metazoa; Chordata; Mammalia; Artiodactyla; Suidae.
CUUAACAGUUAGCUGCGCGAGUGCUAAAUGUUGCUUUUAAUUAAACAAUAAAGAAUGCAACACCCUUUCUGGUAUCCUUAUAAAUUUUGAUGUGAUACAACAACUUGAUUCUUUAAAAAUUAAUUGCCUAGGAGUAUGUUUAAGUAGUAUUGAUUAUGUUAGUACCUCGUGUUGCUCUGUGAUACUUAACCCAACAUUUAAAAUAUCUUUUUUCCAUUAUAUGUUGUGAUGCAAGAAUAAAAGCAAAGUACAAAACAAAUAGGCACUUGAAUUCUAAUAGCAAUAAGCAAUAAAUGUCAGGCAUCUGGAAAUUAUGGUUGCAAUUUCAUCAGAGUACACUUUGUUCUUCUAUUAUGCCUGCAUGAAUUUUGCUACAGGCAAAAUCUAUUACAGAUAACAGUUAAGAACCUUUCUAAUCUACACAGAUAGUCAUGGCAAAAUGUUGGAAAACUAAAUGUUGGAAAAUGUAAUAUUGCAGGGGAAAAUUGACACUUGUAGAAAAUAAUGUGGGCCCAUUUAGAACCACAAAUGGUAAUCAUUUCUUUAAGAUCAUAGUGUGGUAGAGGUUUCUGAGCUGGGUGACCCAGUUGAAGGACACAGCCCUGGGAAUGAAUCCUGUGCUGCUGCCUGGGGUGUGCAUGUGCAGAAAACGUGUACCAACCUCCAUCAACGGUAGACUGCAGAGUUCAGCGCAUGCUUCCCAGAGAGUUCCUCCUUCCCUACUGGGCUUUAAGGUUUUAAUUUUCCCAUGGACUCAACCACAAAUAAG